AGUUUGAUCCCUGCUCAGGACGAACGCUGGCGGCGUGCCUAAUACAUGCAAGUCGAGCGGACAGAUGGGAGCUUGCUCCCUGAUGUUAGCGGCGGACGGGUGAGUAACACGUGGGUAACCUGCCUGUAAGACUGGGAUAACUCCGGGAAACCGGGGCUAAUACCGGAUGGUUGUUUGAACCGCAUGGUUCAAACAUAAAAGGUGGCUUCGGCUACCACUUACAGAUGGACCCGCGGCGCAUUAGCUAGUUGGUGAGGUAACGGCUCACCAAGGCAACGAUGCGUAGCCGACCUGAGAGGGUGAUCGGCCACACUGGGACUGAGACACGGCCCAGACUCCUACGGGAGGCAGCAGUAGGGAAUCUUCCGCAAUGGACGAAAGUCUGACGGAGCAACGCCGCGUGAGUGAUGAAGGUUUUCGGAUCGUAAAGCUCUGUUGUUAGGGAAGAACAAGUACCGUUCGAAUAGGGCGGUACCUUGACGGUACCUAACCAGAAAGCCACGGCUAACUACGUGCCAGCAGCCGCGGUAAUACGUAGGUGGCAAGCGUUGUCCGGAAUUAUUGGGCGUAAAGGGCUCGCAGGCGGUUUCUUAAGUCUGAUGUGAAAGCCCCCGGCUCAACCGGGGAGGGUCAUUGGAAACUGGGGAACUUGAGUGCAGAAGAGGAGAGUGGAAUUCCACGUGUAGCGGUGAAAUGCGUAGAGAUGUGGAGGAACACCAGUGGCGAAGGCGACUCUCUGGUCUGUAACUGACGCUGAGGAACGAAUGGCGACAUAAAAU
RNAcentral lists this ribosomal RNA (779 nucleotides) under Bacillus subtilis. Its description in RNAcentral is "bacterial SSU rRNA". It matches the Rfam family "Bacterial small subunit ribosomal RNA", at positions 10 to 773 of the family's 1533-position model. Lineage: Bacteria; Bacillati; Bacillota; Bacilli; Caryophanales; Bacillaceae. The record is from RNAcentral.